Molecule: long non-coding RNA, 2371 nt
Organism: Apus apus (common swift)
Lineage: Eukaryota; Metazoa; Chordata; Aves; Apodiformes; Apodidae
Exons: 6
Source: RefSeq, a predicted model, not a curated record
AGGUAACGGGGCUGGAGCUUCCACAUCCAGCUCGGAGUCAUGCGAAACACGAGGCAUGGUCCCCUUGAGUGAAAGGCUACAGACCUUCUACCAGCUGCUUCUCAUGCAGCCUCUGCUCCAUCUCCUCACCUGUGCACUCUCUGCGCAGCCCAGCCUUGUGUGCCCUCCUCAGUCCCAGGCAGAGCAGGAACAGGAAUACAUGGACAGCAGAAGUGUUCAUCAGUGAAAUAACUGAAGUACAGAACAAAUAGCACUGGGUUGUGCAAUACUUUUCGUUGAAAACGGGAUUCAGCUCACGUUAUUUCACCUAACUGGGCUGAUGUUGAGUGAAGAAAAAGCUGUUUUGCUGACAGCCCUGGUCGCCAGCCAGUUCCACGUAUUCAGGAUGUUCCCUCAGAAAAUGAUUGUCUUGUCCUGAUGUCAGGCGUGUCCUGGAGCCCCAGCACAGCACUGUGCAUAGCAACUGGAGACGUACAAGCCAACCUUCCAAAAACUGCUGGCACACAGCUCCAUUGCCAUACAGGUAUUUUGAAUGGGAAGAAGGCGCUUUUCUCAUCCAAGCUUCAGGGUUAUGAGCAUUAACAGAGCAAGGACUAUGUGUUACCCUCUACCAGGAAAGCAGCUUGCUCUUUCUGAGUGCUACUGUCUUCAUGUUGUAAUGGUAAGAGAGCAUGGCCCUGUGCAGGUCUGAAGCACUGCCCUGAUGAUCCUGUGCUGCCCUGCAACAUGAUGCAGAUGGAUAAGAUGUAUUAAAACAAUCCUGCUGAUGGCUGAGGACCUGUUCUGUUAACUCCACUCACUUGUCACUGCUUCUGCUGCCUGCUGUAAAAGGAUCAGACGAAGAUCCGGUGAGAGACAGGAAAAUACAGCUGGAGAGAAGGAAAGAAGAACAACUCUUUGUAAUCUGCUGUAAUUGUUGACUAUGGGGGAAACACCCAGGGUACAAAAUCAACUCAGGAGGACAUAGUGAGUGAUGGUGAGCAUUUUUCUCCCUUUCCAGGAGCUGCAGAUCUUUGGACAAACUCCUGAGUGACAGAGGCAAGUGAAUCUGCCAGUGGGUGGUGCAUGGGCAUCUCUAAUGCUUGCAAAUAUAAGCCUAGCGCUGCCCGUGCCCGCUGCAUGUAUUCUAUUUAUAGCACAGCAGAGGGAGUGUUGGCAAAGCAUCUCAAGAGGAGCAACCUUUUGUUAUACCUACGGCUGCUCCCUUCCUGUUACUGCAACUGACACAAAAAUAAUCACAAUAAUAAGGAUUGUGAGGUUAACUGAUCCUCUGCCUUGUCACCAUGCUGCAGCCUACUCGGCCAUAGCCUGGUUAUUGCAUCUUGUGUUCCUGUGAUUUCUCACAGGGAAGGAAGCACCUGAAACACCUCAGGACAUUUAUGAUCCGUUCACCUGGCUGCUUCUCUCCACAGCUUGCUCUGUUCUGUUUUUUUUUCCAUGUCUGCUAGAAGGUCAGAUCAAGAUGUUGAUUUUCCUCAUGCUGUUCUCCAGGCUGGGGAACUAUAUUUGAAAUCAGAGAGUGAGCUGUGUGUUAAGAAAUAGCUCUGGCACGAUAAUGUUUAAAAUUACUCUUUGUUUCCCUGACUUCUCUCCCAAUUUAGAUUAUCCAAAUGCAGAUUUCCCCCAGACUUGCCCACAAGAUGGAAUUCUAAGAAAAUACUGGGUUUUUAAAUUUAUUUAUUUUUUUUUUUUAGCAUCCACAUUUCUCACAUUUCCUGUUUCAAUUUCAAAGUGGUCCUGAGCUCCCCUGUGAACAUUGCUCCAGCUGUUAUUUUGGGGAUCUGAGAGAGGAGAGAAAAAAACAAAACAAGAUGUGGGGAAUACUUUUCUUGCCUUUCCCCCUUGUCAUCCACAGGUUCUCGUCUAAAAAGGCGGAGCUUGAAGUCUCUCUAUCUCUUGGAAGGCAUUUUUGGCAAUUGCAUUCUGAAUACGGGAAACUCCGGUUAUUUUGGAUGAAUGUUUGUUUCCUCAGAAACCCUCUGCAACAAUUAGUUAAAAAAAAACCCCAAAGACUGAGAGAGCAAAGAAAAGGGACUCUUUUGCAAUGUUUGAACAACACCCACCGCUCCUCUGUAGAAACGUGAUCCCUGAAGGGAAAGGGAUUAUAUUCUCCACCAGGCAUUUGACUAGGCUGGAUUUUUUUCCCCUCGCCCAGAAGGAAGGCUGUGGACAACCAGAGGUGCAGGGUGCAACCCCACAGCCAGGGCAGCAGAGGGGCUGGAUGGGAGCUGGAGUCACUCCUGUCACUCGUUUCCCCGCCUUCCUCGGGAUCAGUGUGACCUGGGUGACAUCCCCACACACUGCACUAAGGGAUGACACAAAAUCUUUAAAAAAUAAACAAAAGGAAGAACAGGUCUAAGAUCUACCGAAA